This 439-nucleotide ribosomal RNA is filed under the name uncultured bacterium. Its description in RNAcentral is "partial 16S ribosomal RNA". It matches the Rfam family "Bacterial small subunit ribosomal RNA", at positions 338 to 795 of the family's 1533-position model. The record is from RNAcentral.
CCUACGGGCGGCAGCAGUAGGGAAUUUUGCGCAAUGGGCGAAAGCCUGACGCAGCAACGCCGCGUGAUCGAGACGCCCUUCGGGGUGUAAAGAUCUGUCAGUGGGGACGAAACUUGACGGUACCCACAGAGGAAGCAGCGGCUAACGCCGGGCCAGCCGCCGCGGUCAUACGGCGGAUGCUAGCGUUAUCCGGAUUUAUUGGGUUUAAAGGGUGCGCAGGCGGACGAUCAAGUCCGCGGUAAACUUGAGAGGCUCAACCUCUGCGAGCCGUUGAAACGGGUGUUCUUGGGUGAGUGAGAAGUCUGCUGCAUGCGUGGUGUAGCGGUGAAAUGCAUAGAUAUCACGCAGAACUCCGAUUGCGCAGGCAGCAUACCGGCGCUCACCUGACGCUCAUGCACGAAAGUGUGGGUAUCGAACAGGAUUAGAUACCCUGGUAGUC